This 538-nucleotide long non-coding RNA is filed under the name Marmota monax (woodchuck). Lineage: Eukaryota; Metazoa; Chordata; Mammalia; Rodentia; Sciuridae. The record is from RNAcentral.
CCUGUACUUCCCUAUUCAAAAUAUCCAUUGCAUAUUAUUCAGUCCUCUGUUAAUUCAUUUCAAAGAUCUAAUGUUUGUUGAGCAUGUACUCUGUGACAACAAAAAUACAGUAGAGGUUAGCUUCUAUAUUCUAUACAGAUAAUUCAGUAUAACAAGUGACAGUAAAGACUGCAAGCCCAAAGCCAGGUUUCUACUUACACUAGGCAUCAUACAUGAGUCUCUUCUUAGAAGGAGGGAGGAAGGAAGGAACUGGCUCUUCCUGGAAACUGCGUUCUUCAACUGUAGGCCUCACUUUGCCUGGGUAAUACAUGUUACCAAGGAAGCAUCUCUUCACUAGUCACUUCUGCCUGUGACUGUCAGAGGGAUUCAUCAGUGAGCCAGAGAGAAGAAGACCCUGUCCUGGGGCUUCUGCAGGAUGCCUUUCCCUUCCAGACAGUAAGCAUAAUGGGGGACUGGGCUCUGCUUUUAGUCAAUGCACCCCAUACAGAGCCUGGCACACAGUGGGGCCAUAAUAAUUCUCCCCUGCUUUCUAGUCUGC